Gossypium arboreum is the source of this 132-nucleotide microRNA precursor. It matches the Rfam family "MIR7502 microRNA precursor family". NCBI's taxonomy places the organism in Eukaryota, Viridiplantae, Streptophyta, Magnoliopsida, Malvales, Malvaceae. The record is from Rfam.
UAUUAAAAUUUCAUCCAUUUGUACGGUUAAAAAUUAGCUUGAUUGAUAAAAUAACCAGACAGUGACAUGUGUAUCCUAUACUAGCGUAUAGAGAUUAAUUUUUAAUAAUAGUAUUGGAUGAAGUUUUUAAUA